This 486-nucleotide ribosomal RNA is filed under the name uncultured bacterium. RNAcentral describes it as "partial 16S ribosomal RNA". It matches the Rfam family "Bacterial small subunit ribosomal RNA", at positions 28 to 507 of the family's 1533-position model. The record is from RNAcentral.
GAUGAACGCUAGCGGCAGGCUUAACACAUGCAAGUCGAGGGGCAGCGCGGGAUAGCAAUAUCCUGGCGGCGACCGGCGGAAGGGUGCGUAACGCGUGAGCGACAUGCCCGUUGCCCGGGGACAACCGGUGGAAACGCCGACUAAUCCCCGAUGGGAUAUUGUGCCGCAUGGCACGAUAUUGAAAGUUACGGCGGCGACGGAUUGGCUCGCGUCCGAUUAGCUUGUUGGCGGGGUAACGGCCCACCAAGGCUGCGAUCGGUAGGGGUUCUGAGAGGAAGGCCCCCCACAAUGGGACUGAGACACGGCCCAUACUCCUACGGGAGGCAGCAGUGAGGAAGAUUGGACAAUGGGCGGAAGCCUGAACCAGCCAUGCCGCGUGCGGGAAGGAGGCCCUAUGGGCUGUGAACCGCUUUUGCCUGGGGGCAAUAAGGGCGUCGCGCACGUCCGAUGAGAGUACCAGGCGAAUAAGCAUCGGCUAACUCCGUG